AAGAAAUGGUUUGGAAUGAGAUAGUCCCAUAUGUUCUUUCAAAAUCCCAAGAAGCCUAGACAGAGUGGAGCCUUCUUCUUAGUGCUGAUGAUCUGGUUUCCUAUUUCACUGAGAACACAGCGACAAUCAGAAAAGAAUCUGCAGAAGUAUUCACCACCACACCCACAUGUCUGCUGGCCUCUGUGUCCAUGGAUGCUGCCUUCCCACCUACAACUGUGGAAGAACCACCCUGCUCCUAACACAGUCCAGUCCCUCUCUGGGCACUAUCUCCCAACCUCCUUGGUCUGCUCAAUGAUGGAGAGCAAGCUUUUCUUUCUCUUUCUUUAUAGUCAACAUUUUCCUCUUCACUGGGUCAUUCCCACCAAUAUGCAAAUAUCUCUUAUUUCUCCCAUCUUAACAAAACAUUGUUUGAACUCUAGUAUCACCUCUAGCUACUGCCUAUUUCUCUUUCCUUUCACACAAACUCCCUGAAAUAAAUGUUUGUAGUCUUUCCUAUCUUCAA
Molecule: long non-coding RNA, 502 nt
Organism: Diceros bicornis minor
Lineage: Eukaryota; Metazoa; Chordata; Mammalia; Perissodactyla; Rhinocerotidae
Exons: 2
Source: RefSeq, a predicted model, not a curated record